GUACACGCUGUGACUAGCAUAUCAAUAAGCGGAGGAAAAGAAACUAACAAGGAUUCCCCUAGUAACGGCGAGUGAAGCGGGAAGAGCUCAAAUUUGAAAUCUUAAAGGGUUUCCCUUUACGAAUUGUAGUUUAAAGAAGUGUUUUCUGUUGAGGUUUUGGUAAAAGUUCUUUGGAAUAGGACAUCAUAGAGGGUGAGAAUCCCGUAUUUGACCUUUACUUUCAACUUUGUGAUACAGCUUUCAAAGAAUCGGAUUGUUUGGGAAUGCAGUCCAAAAUGGGUGGUAAAUUUCAUCUAAAGCUAAAUAUUGGCGAGAGACCGAUAGCGAACAAGUACCGUGAGGGAAAGAUGAAAAGAACUUUGAAAAGAGAGUUAAACAGUACGUGAAAUUGUCAAAAGGGAAGCGUUUGACACCAGUGUUGUUUUUCUGAAAAUCAAUUAAAGAACUGUUUAUGCUAAGUUGUUUAGACUUUAUCAGCUAUCUGUUUAGUUUUGAGCUUUUCUUUAAUGCACUUUUCAGUUAACAAGUCAACAUCAAUUUCUUUUGCUGUAAAAAAGCUUGAGGAAGGUGGCUUGAGAUUCGUCUUAAGUGUUUAUAGCCUCUUGCCUAUGCAGUCGGAGAGAUUGAGGUCUGCAGCGUAGAUCCUUCGGGGCUAAAUGCAUUUGUGCUAAGUUAUAGCAUUUUAUAGACAACUUGUUGACUAUGAUUUGUCUUGUAGCUUACUCGCUUAUGUUAUUUUACCUACGCUUAGGAUGUUGAAGAUGUAGCACAUCAU
Molecule: ribosomal RNA, 775 nt
Filed under: uncultured Neocallimastigales
Lineage: Eukaryota; Fungi; Neocallimastigomycota; Neocallimastigomycetes; Neocallimastigales
Description: partial large subunit ribosomal RNA
Rfam family: Eukaryotic large subunit ribosomal RNA
Source: RNAcentral